This 3139-nucleotide long non-coding RNA is filed under the name Lotus japonicus. RNAcentral's name for it is "long non-coding RNA (LJAP_LNC000715)". Lineage: Eukaryota; Viridiplantae; Streptophyta; Magnoliopsida; Fabales; Fabaceae. The record is from RNAcentral.
CGGCAACCUUGUCGGUGUAUCGUAAGUUCUAAAGCCAAAAUAAAUCCUUGAAGGAAAUCAGUGACAGUAGAUAGUAACUUCGUAGUGUCAAUUGAUUAUAAGGAAAAAGAAACUGAUACAAACAUGCUUAUAGUUUUAGAACAAUGCCACUAACUUUGAAAUCAUAUGUCACAAAAUAAUGUACCGUUACAUUUUUUUCAGGACCUAUAACUUGCAGGGCUACAUAGACAGGCUUGAUGAACAUGUUACCAAGUUGGCUGAGCAACUAAACAGUUGCAAAUUGCAAAUAGGUUAACAAAUUAAUUGUUGUUCCUUCAAUAUGUCCCUUGCAGGUUAAUUUGAACUCAAAUAAUAAUCAAUUAAAGCUAAUCUCCAUUUGUUACAGGCCACGUGGACGACUACUUUAACCGCAGGAAAAUUUUUGACAAGCCUAAGGACAUUGUUGAUCUGUUGAAGGCUUUGAUCCACAGAAAUGGAGCUCAGGGUCCCCAGAUAUUUGAAGGCGGUGUCAUCGUUAAGCAGGUUAGUUUAACUACAUGCAUUAACUAUGUGUUCAUUUUUUAAAAUUGAAUUGAGUUUUGAUACUUUCGCAUCCCAUUCUCUCGAGAGCAGGGUCUUGAAGUGUUCAGACAGAAACAUGUGUUGCUGUUUAUUUCGGGCCUCAACAGCAUUGUAGAUGAGAUUUUGCUUCUCAAUUCAAUCUACAACAGGUUGCAGGACAAUCCAACAGAAGUGAUCAAAGGCUUCAAGAAGGAAGACUUCAAGAUUCUGUGGGUCCCCAUGGUGGACAGGUGGGACGAAGCCAGCAGGGAACAAUAUUUAAACACUUGGAAGAGGGGAAUCAAAUGGUACAUAGUGGAGUACUUCUUUGAAUUACCAGGACGCAGGAUAAUAACAGAUCCUGAAAGAUUGGGUUAUGAGGGUAAUCCUAUUAUCCCAGUGUUCAACCCUCAAGGAAUGUUGACGAAUGACAAUGCCAUGGACUUGAUUUUCCAGUGGGGAAUAGAUGCAUUCCCUUUUAGGAAGAGUGAUGGUAUUGAUCUUACUCUAAAGUGGAAGUGGCUUUGGGACAUAAUAAAAAAAGCAACUCCUGGACUACAGGUAUAUAAUAAGCUCACAUUAUCAACAUAUAAACAAUACACAUUUUAACAGAAUAAAAAUGUUCUGUCUCCCAGUAUGUGUCUCAUUUCUUGUCUAGUCAAUGAGAUUUUGACAAGUCAACUAAAAAGACACCUGAUAUAGAUCCAUGAGGCGGUUGCCCAUUUAGAUAGGUGGUUUUCAACUGACAUGACACGAUUUAAUUAGUGUGACAGGAAAAUGAGACAUUAAUUGAGGAUAGAAAAUUUCUAUCUAUUUCAACAUUGUUUUGAUGUCUAAUUAAUUUAUUACUUCCGAAUUAUAAUUUAUGAUAUCCAUGUAUAUGAUAUUUUGUAUUUUGAUAUCUAUUUACAGGUCAAAGUGGACAGAUACAUCUUCAUCUUUGGAAGCACCAACAAUAAGUGGAUCCAAGACUUCACAAUUGAACUGGACAAGCUCAAAAGGAAUGAGACGGUCAAGCGUGCAGAUGUUAUAAUAGAGCAAUAUCAGCUGGGCAAGGAUGACCCUAACCGUGUUCCUAGCUUCUGGAUGGGUGUGGAAAGGAAGAAGCAGAACAAGAAGCAUCAAGAGGCAGUGGACUGUGAGAUUCAGGGGAUUGUGAAGAGCUUGUUCUGCCUCAAAAGGGAUCCCCAAGGAUGGGUCAUUCUCAGCAAAGGCCAUAACAUCAAGCUUCUCGGUCAUGGCGAGGCUGUUUAUCAAACUGUGGUGGAGUUUCCGAAUUGGAAGGAGAAAGUGCUCGAGAGAGAAGGGUUUGACAUUGCCUUCAAAGAGUACUAUGACAUCAAGGCCAAAGAGAUCUCUGCUCGCCAACCAUGUGAGAUUAUCAAUGUUGAUAGCUAUAGUGCUAAUGUCAUAGCUACCAUAACAUGCCCAAAUCCUAUGUGUGGCCGUGUGAUGGAGGUGACUUCUGUUAAUUACAAGUGCUGCCACAGUGAUGCUCCAAAUGGUUUUGGCAUCUGAUUCAUGUGGAGGGAAGAAGUGUCAAUUUGGUUUUGUUGUUGUACUUGGAUGUUCUGUUCAAUUUUUCAGUUCUUGUUUGUUGACAGCAUGUGUCUGUCCAAACAAAUGCGUCUUUGUCAUGCCAUAGAAUAAACACUUGGUUUGCCCUUGAAUGGGUAUAUCAGUAAAACAAUGGCUUCAAUAUGCCUGUCUGCUAUUGAAGUUCAUGAUUAAAUAAAAUUAGUUAUGCAUUGUAUUUUCAGAAGUUGAACAAAUCUCCCUAUACCUAUACCCAUCCUCUUUCUUUUCGCACCAUUCGUACUUUGUGAUUCUAAGUGGUAAGAGCUACAUUGGUAUGAGAUUUGACUCCUUUAAAAUGAGGGUUUAUUAAUAUACUUAGAUAUGUAUAACAAAUCAUUGUGUUCUUCAAAGUUCAACAACCAUUGACUGUGAUGACUUACUUUACUCUCUAAAGUAAUUCUUUCACCGGAUUGAAUAUAUGUUACUAACCAAAGCUAAUUCAUUAUGGGAAUCCUUUAACCAAUACCAAAUGAAUUGCAAGAAAAAUUAGCAACAAUUAUCUAGCUAUAUAACUUAACAUGCAUCAAGACUAGUAAUCUCUAAUCAUUCUCAAACUGGAAUCAAGAUUAUCAACUCAUCUUAACAUAACUCAGAACACAUCCAUCACCAAACUCAGGGAACAAGGAUAAUAGAAAUUUCCAUAAAUUUUGAAAUUAUCCUUAGAACAAGGAAUAAGGUUGAUCUAACCAGACCAAAUGAAAAAGCUAAAUUUAACACAGAUUUUGUGCAAAACGAAGCAAUAAUAAUCCUGAUUCAUUAUGAAUCGCUCAUACCAAAGCUUACCUUGUAUGUUUUCGCACAAGAGAAAAAGAGAGAAUUGAGUUUCCUGAAAGGUGCGCAAAUAGCUUUGUCUCCGUCCAGAAUCUUCACGCGACCUCCGUCUCCGUCCUGAUUCCGGCUGCACAGUUGCUGCGCGGUGGCCAAAUGGUGGUGGUUCGCGGUGGUUACAGCAAUGGUGGUGGUUCCGGUACGUCAAGGUUUCAAGGGGAGACAAGGGUUUCGCGCGCCAAUGAAAUUUCAC